UAGAAUCCACAACAUAUUCAG
This 21-nucleotide unclassified non-coding RNA is filed under the name Mus musculus (house mouse). Its description in RNAcentral is "oocyte_clustered_small_RNA9451". Lineage: Eukaryota; Metazoa; Chordata; Mammalia; Rodentia; Muridae. The record is from RNAcentral.